UCGAUUUGGAGUUUGUUGCCUAGAGUGAUGGGCUCCGAAGCUAACGCGAUAAAUCGACCGCCUGGGGAGUACGGCCGCAAGGUUAAAACUCAAAUGAAUUGACGGGGGCCCGCACAAGCGGUGGAGCAUGUGGUUUAAUUCGAUGCAACGCGAAGAACCUUACCUGGUCUUGACAUCCACAGAAUCUUGCAGAGAUGCGAGAGUGCCUUCGGGAACUGUGAGACAGGUGCUGCAUGGCUGUCGUCAGCUCGUGUUGUGAAAUGUUGGGUUAAGUCCCGCAACGAGCGCAACCCUUAUCCUUUGUUGCCAUCGGUUCGGCCGGGAACUCAAAGGAGACUGCCGUUGAUAAAGCGGAGGAAGGUGGGGACGACGUCAAGUCAUCAUGGCCCUUACGACCAGGGCUACACACGUGCUACAAUGGCGUAUACAAAGGGAGGCGACCUCGCGAGAGCAAGCGGACCUCAUAAAGUACGUCUAAGUCCGGAUUGGAGUCUGCAACUCGACUCCAUGAAGUCGGAAUCGCUAGUAAUCGUGAAUCAGAAUGUCACGGUGAAAUACGUUCCCGGGCCU
This 570-nucleotide ribosomal RNA is filed under the name uncultured Gammaproteobacteria bacterium. RNAcentral describes it as "bacterial SSU rRNA". It matches the Rfam family "Bacterial small subunit ribosomal RNA", at positions 812 to 1381 of the family's 1533-position model. The record is from RNAcentral. Lineage: Bacteria; Pseudomonadati; Pseudomonadota; Gammaproteobacteria.